CGUGGCUGAUCCUAUAUCUUUAGGGAGGAAUUGCGGGGGCGGAGCGGCUGCACAAAUCAAGGGUUCUAAAGAAGCUGCUAAAAGAACAAGAAUCAACUGGACGGAUAUACGGAGCAAUCUGCUCUUCACCUGCAGUCCUGCAUAGACAAGGAUUACUCAAGGAUAAGAGAGCCACAGCUCAUCCAUCUAUCAUAAGCGAGCUCACCAACAAAGCAGUGGAUGGUGCCGGAGUGGUUAUCGAUGGCAAACUGAUCACAAGCAGGGGACUUGCCUCUGCAGCCGAUUUUGCCUUGGCUAUUGUGAGUAAGCUUUUUGGUCAUGCAAGGGCAAGGAGUGUAGCAGAAGGUCUUGUUAUCGAGUACCUCAGGACCUAAAAAGAUGAUUUGUAACCCGUGAAGUGUUUGAGACGCCAAAUGCCCAUAGCCAAGAAAGAUGGAGCGAUUUUUUCCCAACUCGAUCAGCCAUUAGAAGAAGAAAAUAAUCUUCUCUGGUGGGUUGGUUAUAUAUAAGAACGAAGUUUUUUCUUUGUUCACGGGAAAAAUUACUUGCAGAAAGAAUUCACAAUGAUUGAGAACAACGGCUUGAAAUCCUCAUUUAUAUUGAUAAGCCGCAAUCAGGUAUCUUGGAUUUCUGCAGACAUAACAAGAUGUGGCAUGCUAACUAUUAGAUCAGUGUUGCUUUCUGCAGACCUUACUCUGGACCAAUACCAUUGAGGAUUGGUGCUUUUUUGCCCGGCAUGCAAAGAAAAUGACGUCAGUCAUGACUGUUAUUUCCGUGUCAUUAAGCUUUUUGUCAGAGAGCAAUCCAAAGUUGUGUGCGCGAUGUCCUCCUGUAAACAGGUUUUGAUGUUUUGAAGUACCUCGUUUAUAUUUGUAUAAACAGUUCUAUUUUUGGAUCUGUAUGCAUAUCCUUAUUUCUUCCCUUUGGCCAUUAGGAACAUUUAAGACUGUAUUUGGAUCAUGGAUUUGAGUAGAUAGCAAAAGUUACUUUGAAUUUGAAAAGUCUAGUUCUUAGCAAGUGAAAAUGGAACAAGAGAGCUUCACUGUUA
This is a non-coding RNA of Camellia sinensis, 1048 nucleotides long. NCBI's taxonomy places the organism in Eukaryota, Viridiplantae, Streptophyta, Magnoliopsida, Ericales, Theaceae. The record is from RefSeq and is a predicted model, not a curated record.